This 649-nucleotide ribosomal RNA is filed under the name uncultured bacterium. RNAcentral describes it as "bacterial SSU rRNA". It matches the Rfam family "Bacterial small subunit ribosomal RNA", at positions 43 to 738 of the family's 1533-position model. The record is from RNAcentral.
CAGGCCUAACACAUGCAAGUCGAACGAACUCUUCGGAGUUAGUGGCGGACGGGUGAGUAACACGUGGGAACGUGCCUUUAGGUUCGGAAUAACUCAGGGAAACUUGUGCUAAUACCGAAUGUGCCCUUCGGGGGAAAGAUUUAUCGCCUUUAGAGCGGCCCGCGUCUGAUUAGCUAGUUGGUGAGGUAAAGGCUCACCAAGGCGACGAUCAGUAGCUGGUCUGAGAGGAUGAUCAGCCACAUUGGGACUGAGACACGGCCCAAACUCCUACGGGAGGCAGCAGUGGGGAAUCUUGCGCAAUGGGCGAAAGCCUGACGCAGCCAUGCCGCGUGAAUGAUGAAGGUCUUAGGAUUGUAAAAUUCUUUCACCGGGGACGAUAGUGACGGUACCCGGAGAAGAAGCCCCGGCUAACUUCGUGCCAGCAGCCGCGGUAAUACGAAGGGGGCUAGCGUUGCUCGGAAUUACUGGGCGUAAAGGGAGCGUAGGCGGACAUUUAAGUCAGGGGUGAAAUCCCGGGGCUCAACCUCGGAAUUGCCUUUGAUACUGGGUGUCUUGAGUAUGAGAGAGGUGUGUGGAACUCCGAGUGUAGAGGUGAAAUUCGUAGAUAUUCGGAAGAACACCAGUGGCGAAGGCGACACACUGGCUCAUU